CAGACGCACACACCAACACAGUCCUGUAAACACUGAGUCACAGGUUCGAGUCCAGCCUGAAACCCUGACACACACACACACACACACACACACACACACACACACACACACACACACUCACUCACUCACUCACUCACAGCUGCCUGCUAAUGAGGGUAACUAUCAGUUUAAGCUAGCAUUGGGGGCGGGGGGGUUAUAACGGGCCAUGUAGAGGGAUGUAUGUGCGUGUGUCAGGCGUGUGAGCAGUGGCGUGGUUAACCCGGAUUGUUGAAGCCGUGUAAACACUCCGACAGCCAGACUCCGGGUUGUUUUCUCCUCCUCACAUCAAAACACACUCAGUGUUUGCUAACGAGCUAGCAGCCUGUUAGCCACCUGCCUGACGGAGGCGGGUGGACACACCGCCGGUGACCGGGGCUGUGAUGUUUGUGACGGACACACCGCUGCCGACCCCCGGCCCGACUUCCCGGGUAGUUGUGUGGACGUCUGAACGGCCCGGCGGCGCACGGAGAGCGGGCUAAGCUCGAGCUGACGUCCGUCCCUGCGCUCCGGCUACAGCAGCAGCUAAAGUACAGACUUAGCAGUGUAGCCAGUGAAUGACCUGUAAAGACAUCAGUGAACUCUGCUCCUUCUAACAGGCUGCAGAAGAUCUUCACCAUCUCUUUGGUCAUGUCCUUACCUGCAGAUUUUUUGGGAAAAUGUGACUACUUUCAUCCAUCAACAGACUGACAAAAAUUUUGUUUUGGACUAUCAAAAUGUAUUGUUCGUUAUUUUAAGCUAAAGCUCAUAUCCAUAACUGCAAAUUCACUAAUCAAAAACUUUGUACUCACCAUCUCAAAAAGGAAAUCAAACAAUAAAUCAACAUAAUUAGUCAGUCUGAAAAUAAGAAAGCCAUAAAGACUCUAGUAUUAUUUUCCUUGUUUUCAUGUUAUUGAAAUGACUUUGAGUUUGCCGAACCUGAAAUGUUUUUAUUUUUGUCCCUAACCCUGCACUCUAUGAUGACAUGUAACUUCAACUUGCUGA
Molecule: long non-coding RNA, 1020 nt
Organism: Acanthopagrus latus (yellowfin seabream)
Lineage: Eukaryota; Metazoa; Chordata; Actinopteri; Spariformes; Sparidae
Exons: 2
Source: RefSeq, a predicted model, not a curated record